This 319-nucleotide ribosomal RNA is filed under the name uncultured bacterium. RNAcentral's name for it is "bacterial SSU rRNA". It matches the Rfam family "Bacterial small subunit ribosomal RNA", at positions 29 to 334 of the family's 1533-position model. The record is from RNAcentral.
AACGAACGCUGGCGGCAGGCUUUAUACAUGCAAGUCGAACGAGAACGCUCCUUCGGGAGUUAUUAGAGUGGCGCACGGGUGAGUAACACGUAGGUGACCUAUCCUUUUGCGGGGGACAACCCGAGGAAACUCGGGCUAAUACCGCAUACGCUCGACGAAUUUGGAUUUAGUCGAGGAAAGAUGGCCUCUGUAUAUGCCAUCACAAAAGGAGGGGCCUGCGUGCCAUUAGUUUGUUGGUGGGGUAAUGGCCUACCAAGGCGAUGAUGGCUAGCUGGUCUGAGAGGAUGAUCAGCCACACUGGAACUGAGACACGGUCCAG